UGGUGUGUCUCUUUCUCACCGUCUUCAGUCCUUCUUUCGAAGAUUUUGUCAGUGGAUGGAUUUAUUAGAUCCUGUAAACGUGUUUAUUUCAGUUGAAAGCAUAGAAAAAUCACGACAGCUGUUGUUUACUACUGAGGAUGCACCCAAACACUACCUGGAUAACCAAAGGGUAUCUGUCUCAUGACCUCAUAUGUGCACAGAUGUGUAUGGUUCAACAUGACCUUACCUUGUACAGAGUCGAAUUAAGUAAGGUUUGGUAACUAAUCCUGCCAUUGUACAUGUUGCCUAGGGGAUUCACUUUACAAAGAUGGGGAGUUAGAAUUCUAUCUUAUAAUACAGCCAGGGCAGUGUU
RNAcentral lists this long non-coding RNA (352 nucleotides) under Rattus norvegicus (Norway rat). RNAcentral describes it as "long non-coding RNA NONRATT003963". Lineage: Eukaryota; Metazoa; Chordata; Mammalia; Rodentia; Muridae. The record is from RNAcentral.